UUUCAAGUGUAAAGAUGU
Molecule: small nuclear RNA, 18 nt
Filed under: Arabidopsis thaliana (thale cress)
Lineage: Eukaryota; Viridiplantae; Streptophyta; Magnoliopsida; Brassicales; Brassicaceae
Description: snRNA_14253
Source: RNAcentral